RNAcentral lists this long non-coding RNA (1197 nucleotides) under Homo sapiens (human). RNAcentral describes it as "HSALNT0208847". Lineage: Eukaryota; Metazoa; Chordata; Mammalia; Primates; Hominidae. The record is from RNAcentral.
GAUGUCAAACCAAUAAACAAACUAACAACAUUGAGAAUCCCCCAAAAAUAUAGGGAAGAGAAUAGUCACUCAGAAAAGUUGCCGCUGCUUAUUCCAGUUCAGAGUUGCAAGUGGCUGAAGACCAUCUCGGCAGCUCAAGGUGCAAAAUGGAAACCAAACAUGAACAGGAUGCCAUUCCACUGCAGGGCACACUCAUAUCCAUAUCCACAUUCACUCAGACUGGGACAGUUUAGACAUGCCAAUCAUCUUAAUGUGCAUGUCUUUGGAAUGUGAGAUAAAACUGGGAGAAAAUUCACACAGACAUGGGGAGAAUGUGUAAACUCUACACAGAUAGUGCCCUGGCUGGGAAUCCUUUUUGUAUUUCUCAUUACUGUUAUAACAAUAUGUCAUCGAAUGAAACAAUGUUAUUUGAAGACUCGCUGUGAAUCAGAGUUAACAGAAGUGAAAGCACUGUGAAAGAAAUGAUACGCUGUAUGUAUGUGAUAAUAAAGAGAUUUGUUCUUUAUUUAUGAGGGCAGUAAAACUGAAAGCAAAUAGCAUAACAGUAGAGCCAAGGGACUUCAAACAAUUGUGGGGGAGAAUAUAACAAUUAGAAUUCUACCAAACCAUUAUUUUUUUAAAGUUAACCCAAUACAAAUAAAAACUUUUAAAUAUAUAACAAGAAGGUAGGGAUAAAAAUAAUGGUGUUACUACACCACAUAUGAAUGAUUUGGAUUUUCUUAUUAAAAGACAGAAAUAUUACACUAAAUGUAAAAACAAAAUGUUUUUCUGUACUGUUACAAAGAAAACACCCAAAAUGAAGUGGUAAAAAAUGUUAAAAACAAGAUGGUACAUAUAAACCCUUAGCUCCCAUAAUCUCUUUCUUUGUAACAUAUUUGAUAAAUAAUACCAGUAGAAAAAAUUGUUGAAUAAGUCACAAUACUUCAUUGACACCAUGAAAUAUUGCCUCCAUACAAAAGAAUGAUACAGUGCUAUGUCACUGGCUUUAAAAAUGUUCCCUAAAUAUUGUUAAUAAGUAAAACAAGAUUCCAAAAAGUGUUCAUAUUUGAUCUCAUUUUAUGUAUAAAAAUGUUGAAAAAAAUCCCAUAUAUAUUUACAUGUUAUUGUGGACAACAUACGAAAUACGUAAACCCAAGAUGUUAAUGUAGAUUAAGUAGCGAUUAUAUUGGUGAGUUAUUGAAGCAAGACAGAAACACU